Molecule: non-coding RNA, 227 nt
Organism: Phasianus colchicus (ring-necked pheasant)
Lineage: Eukaryota; Metazoa; Chordata; Aves; Galliformes; Phasianidae
Source: RefSeq, a predicted model, not a curated record
CUAUUAAGAGAUACGUUGCCCAGGCAGCGGAUGAACUGUCCUUUGAGGUGGGAGACAUCAUCUGUGUCAUCGACAUGCCACCAAAGGAGCUGACCCCCUGGUGGAGAGGCAAGCUCGGCUUCCAGGUUGGAUUUUUCCCAGGGGAGUGUGUGGAACUGAUUAAUAAGAACAUUCCUGAGGCACUCAUCAACUCUGUGCCAAAGCCAGGUAUGGAUGUUACAUUUGAU